AAUGCGCUAAUUAAUGUGAAUUGCAGAAUUCAGUGAAUCAUCGAGUCUUUGAACGCACAUUGCGCUCCCUGGUAUUCCGGGGGGCAUGCCUGUCCGAGCGUCAUUGCUGCCCUCAAGCACGGCUUGUGUGUUGGGCUUCCGUCCCUGGCAACGGGGACGGGCCCAAAAGGCAGUGGCGGCACCAUGUCUGGUCCUCGAGCGUAUGGGGCUUUGUCACCCGCUCCCGUAGGUCCAGCUGGCAGCUAGCCUCGCAACCAAUCUUUUUAACCAGGUUGACCUCGGAUCAGGUAGGGAUACCCGCUGAACUUAAGC
RNAcentral lists this unclassified non-coding RNA (312 nucleotides) under plant metagenome. RNAcentral's name for it is "partial contains 5.8S ribosomal RNA, internal transcribed spacer 2, and large subunit ribosomal RNA". The stretch from base 1 to 103 matches the Rfam family "5.8S ribosomal RNA", at positions 52 to 154 of the family's 154-position model. The record is from RNAcentral.